UUUGCAGGUUCUUGAAAACGAAUCUGUACACCGUUGGCAGCGUGGAGUAACAAAGGUCUUCGUUCGUAAUCCCUAAAAAUCGUAAUCUCACGAAGAAAGAUCGAGAACGGCCGCUCUCUCCCUUGUAAAAUAAAUCAGACUGGAAGCGUUGGGUCGACUGCGGCGUCGGACGGACGCGUGGAAAGAUGAAACAUCGUGCGGUUUGAAGAGUCAUCGACGCCAUGACGAAGCUCGACGGAGGGACAGUUUUGGGCAAACAGCUCUCACUGAUAUCUUUUGUUUUUCCGAACACUGUGUGACUAACAGUCCACAAUCGCCGUGUUCGUUAUUCGAAUUCCGUCCUCCCGUGUCGCAUUGGGUCUAAAACCAGGUGCUUCGACUAUGUUUUCCAUGUAAUUAGUCAUCGUUGGAGGAUGCACGUAGCGGAAAGGAAGAAUGAGUCUUGUCUCCUGUCUUGCUUGAACAUUUUCCAUCGAGGAAUUUAGUGCACGAACGGCGAACUGAUUGUAAAGUAAAUUUGACAGUGGCCCAGUAGCACUGUCAAACUAUCACGCGUACAACAAACUGCAUUCCCAUUUUACUGGAUUUACGAUUUUGUUACCAUUAUACCGCACCGUAGUUUGUAUAAGAAUGCUGCCAGAACGAUAGUAAUAUAUGUAUAUAUAUACUGAUUUACAUACACUUUACAUUCUCUUACAUUUAAUACUCCACAUAGUUGCGUUAUGAUCAUGUGGCAGGAAAUGCGAAUAAUACAAAGCUCAAGGAUUAAUUAACAUGUGCAUAAAGGUCGAAUAGACGUGGAAUGAGGAAAACAAUGGUGUUGUUUGCAUCGGUUAAAUCAUUUCUUCGAUCGACGACGCGUUAUCGGGAUUGAAUAUUUCUUUUUCAUUUUUUUUUUUUUCCCAGCGUGUUCGAUCAUACGAUGACUGACAGGCAGAGCGGCGCGCCGGCUGGGGCCAUGACAAACAAUGGCGUAUUCCAUUAGGUCUGCCAUGAGAAUUAACCAGCCAGCCAUAACCAGGUGCUCGCCGGGUCCAACAUUGGAUCGAGCUCGGCCGCCUUGACCACCGCAUUCGUUGCGCCCGACGAGAAUCAAUCACUCUGCUAAACAUACCAGCUCGAUUCGUAGGAACUAGCACCGCCGGCACGCCUCGAAUAACAACCACCGCGAGAUGAACGCGUAUUUUUAGCCAAGGCAUUAGCCAAUUAACUAUUAACUCGUUGGCGCCACGACGCUGCUCCUAUUUUUGCUUAUUUCUUCACGCGGGUAGUUGCAUCGUUGCACCUCUUCCGAAUCCUCGCCGCGUUUCACCGAAAAUAAUCCGAUCUAACUCAAGUCAAGUGCCGUCUCCCGAAUAAUUAUACGCGCGAAAUGAAAUAUUCUUUUGGCACGAUUGUCUACGAUUGUUAGCGGAUAUUAUUCUCAAGCUCGUACCAUCGCAACAAGUUCUCGUUUUAGGACGGACGACGAAACUCAUCGUCAGCACGUGGCGUGCCAGCGCAUCAGCCGCGAUUCGUCGCGAUUCCUCGGCGUAUUGCCUUGGAGAGAGAACUCGAGCGCAUCUUGCAUCCGUGUGAUAGCGACAUGGUCGAUUCUUACACCUGCGCCUGUACCGCAUGGGUCUCGAAAGAGAUCUCACGCAAAGUGAAAAGGCCCGUUGACGGCCACGCGUAUGCAUAAUGGGCCGAUUAUCCGGACAAAAGGCCGAUUUAUUCAUCUCGUUUAUCAUUCCCACUAUGCAAAGCGAUACACCUUGUGUCAGGUGUCGACGCUUCCACGCGCCGGGGAUAAAAUAGAGUACACGGGACGUUUGCUACAUCAGCCCCCCUCCUCUCUCUUGUUAGCUCGUUUUCCAGCUCUUCCUCGCGCAAUCUCAUUUCAUCGACAAGUAGGUGAAAGAAGUGACCAGGGACGACGUAGCGAAAUGGGACAAAAGCCGAAGAGGAGACCGGCUGUCACGGGAAGGACUGACGAUCCACAACAGAAGCAGUUGCCGGCGUCGUUGCUGUUCUUUUCAUCGUCCCCGCUUCCUCUGUGCAGGACGCACGAACCACGUGCGCGCGAGCGUCACACGAAACGACGUGGUGUGUGUGUGUGUGUGGUCGUAUGCGUGUGUAUGCUCUCACAGACGUUCACCCACACGAGGGAAACGUGGCGUCUCUGCCUCGGGGCUCAGGCGCCACUGUCUCCCUUCUCUCUAUCCCUCGGUUCCCUCACCAACCGCCCAUUUCCCGGCGUCGAUCCACGCUACUCAACCUUUUACCAACACACAACUCCGUCGGCCUGGCCGCACACUACGUUCUGGUACAGUGGCUGCCAUUAACGUAAGUGGCAGAGGCCAUGUGCGCGAGACUCUUCGUGUCCGCUUGAUUGCGAGUCCGUCGGGAAAGUCUUCGACGAGGAUCUAACGACGAUCGAUGACAUGAUCUAUGAGCCCCUCUACGACGUGGAAUCGUAGAGUUGUGAAAAGAAGAAAAGGUUCGGACGAAUCUGCUCCGAAAUAAUUCUUCGUAAAACUAAAGAAUUUUGACUUACACUAAAUCACUUUUACUUUACGAGAAUUUACUUUACCCACGAUCUUACGAUAUUAGAUCUCUUUGUAAAUUUGGAAUUACUUUUUUUGGGACGAAUUUUCGCGAAAGAAUAAAGAUGGAUCGUUUUAAAUCCAAGUUUAAUUAAGAUUCACGACCAAC
Molecule: long non-coding RNA, 2694 nt
Organism: Frieseomelitta varia
Lineage: Eukaryota; Metazoa; Arthropoda; Insecta; Hymenoptera; Apidae
Exons: 3
Source: RefSeq, a predicted model, not a curated record